This 199-nucleotide long non-coding RNA is filed under the name Lathyrus oleraceus (garden pea). Its description in RNAcentral is "Pisum sativum (pea) long non-coding RNA (PSAT_LNC027943)". The record is from RNAcentral. Lineage: Eukaryota; Viridiplantae; Streptophyta; Magnoliopsida; Fabales; Fabaceae.
UUUUCUAGAACUUGAAUUAUUUUAAAAUGAUUAAUUGACAUUUUAUUCAUACAUUGAUGGAAAAGAGGUACCUAGAGCCCCUUAGGACUAUCCUUUGAUGAUUAAAUUAUACAUUUUUGCUAGUCUCUUUGAGAAGUGGUAAAUUUGUCAAUGCUUUUAUAGGUUUUAAUAAAGAUUUCUAAGAAACGUGAAAAAGACC